Molecule: ribosomal RNA, 88 nt
Filed under: Staphylococcus aureus
Lineage: Bacteria; Bacillati; Bacillota; Bacilli; Caryophanales; Staphylococcaceae
Also listed under: 1 other name
Description: partial 23S ribosomal RNA
Rfam family: Bacterial large subunit ribosomal RNA
Source: RNAcentral
GAUUAAGUUAUUAAGGGCGCACGGUGGAUGCCUUGGCACUAGAAGCCGAUGAAGGACGUUACUAACGACGAUAUGCUUUGGGGAGCUG